Molecule: ribosomal RNA, 401 nt
Filed under: uncultured bacterium
Lineage: Bacteria
Description: bacterial SSU rRNA
Rfam family: Bacterial small subunit ribosomal RNA
Source: RNAcentral
GGGGAAUAUUGCACAAUGGGGGAAACCCUGAUGCAGCAACGCCGCGUGAGCGAUGAAGGUCUUCGGAUCGUAAAGCUCUGUCCUGAAGGAAGAAUAAAUGACGGUACUUCAGGAGGAAGCCCCGGCAAACUACGUGCCAGCAGCCGCGGUAAUACGUAGGGGGCAAGCGUUAUCCGGAAUCAUUGGGCGUAAAGGGUGCGUAGGCGGUUCAUUAAGCCAGAGGUGAAAGGCAAUAGCUCAACUAUUGUAAGCCUUUGGAACUGGCGAACUUGAGUGCAGGAGAGGUAAGUGGAAUUCCUAGUGUAGCGGUGAAAUGCGUAGAUAUUAGGAGGAACACCAGUGGCGAAGGCGACUUACUGGACUGUAACUGACGCUGAGGCACGAAAGCGUGGGGAGCAAAC